This 220-nucleotide long non-coding RNA is filed under the name Ananas comosus (pineapple). RNAcentral's name for it is "long non-coding RNA (ACOM_LNC034825)". Lineage: Eukaryota; Viridiplantae; Streptophyta; Magnoliopsida; Poales; Bromeliaceae. The record is from RNAcentral.
AAACGAUCUCACCGACUACUAGCUCGAAGCACCCACCUGUACUAAUGUCUCACCUGUCUCCAAACUGUACACGAUCGUCAACCGGACUUACGAAGGUCCACCGGGUUAGUAUCCAACCCACAAACCCAAAGUACGCAACUCACAACCCCACACAAAUCCCCGAAAUCGAUUUCCCAAAACCGAUCAUCGAAACUCGUCGAGAAUCCCGAAAAUCACACUG